Molecule: transfer RNA, 73 nt
Filed under: Myotis lucifugus (little brown bat)
Lineage: Eukaryota; Metazoa; Chordata; Mammalia; Chiroptera; Vespertilionidae
Rfam family: tRNA
About the family: Transfer RNA (tRNA) molecules are approximately 80 nucleotides in length. Their secondary structure includes four short double-helical elements and three loops (D, anti-codon, and T loops).
Source: Rfam by way of RNAcentral
GCCUGUUUGGCUCAGUGGAUAGAGCAUUGGCCUGUGGACUGAAGGGUCCCGGGUUCGAUUCCCGGUCAGGGCA